AAUCCAGAGGUAACAAAAGCACAUGAUAGGACAUGUCAAGCUGCACAGCUAUGCAGGAUCUGUGUUAGCAGAUUCAAAUAGAUCCAGGGGACCCUAACAAGCCAUCUAGACAACUGCAUGGUAAGCAGCUGCCCUGCAGAGCUGAGUGUUUCCAGGUUUCCAUCUUUAUCCUCACAACUGUCAGGAUGCCAAAGGAGAUGCUCCAUGAGCUAAGCAGUAUCAGAAGGCCAGGAAAUUUAGCCUCAAAGAUGUGCUAGAGGUGGUGGAGGAAGAGUGACUAUAAAAAACAAGUUAAUGCUUACAGGGCUCAUUUUCUGCCUCCACAUGGUUACCUCAAGAGCUAAACAGUUGUGAGAGUUGCUCUCUGACUGUGUGUCAGGAGAUGACUAUUAAAUGAAAAAUGAAAUCGGCUGAGCAGACCGGAGACAGAUGCAACUGCAAUGUUGUGGUCUCCAACAGUGGCCAAAGAUUAACCAGGAAACUACAUCUGGAUCAGCCACAUAGUGUCUGAGUGCAUUAGCCAUUAGACUGUGAGGUGGAGGAGGGUUCAUGUUCUGACGGUGUCUCCCUUUCUUGGAGGAAGGCCAUGAAGUCUCUAUCAGGUUGAACACAGCAUGCAAGCCAGAUGCUUGCCUACUUGGCAUGCCUCAAUUCAGGGUGAUUGCAAAUCUAGAGAAUGGUGAAGCAAAGACAUAUGUUCCCAAAGUCUUUUAAGAACCAAUAAAGAAGAGGAUGUGAGUUGAGACUUUGUCUUU
This 755-nucleotide long non-coding RNA is filed under the name Phasianus colchicus (ring-necked pheasant). RNAcentral describes it as "lncRNA (ENSPCLG00000000946.1)". The record is from RNAcentral. Lineage: Eukaryota; Metazoa; Chordata; Aves; Galliformes; Phasianidae.